UGGGGAAUAUUGGACAAUGGGGGGAACCCUGAUCCAGCCAUGCCGCGUGUGUGAAGAAGGCCUUAUGGUUGUAAAGCACUUUAAGCGAGGAGGAGGGUACUGGUAUUAAUACUACCAGCUACUGGACGUUACUCGCAGAAUAAGCACCGGCUAACUCUGUGCCAGCAGCCGCGGUAAUACAGAGGGUGCGAGCGUUAAUCGGAUUUACUGGGCGUAAAGCGUGCGUAGGCGGCUAAUUGAGUCGGAUGUGAAAUCCCCGAGCUUAACUUGGGAAUUGCAGUCGAUACUGGUUAGCUAGAAUGUGGGAGAAGAUGGUAGAAUUCCAGGUGUAGCGGUGGAAUGCGUAGAGAUCUGGAGGAAUACCGAUGGCGAAGGCAGCCAUCUGGCCUAACACUGACGCUGAGGUACGAAAGCAUGGGGAGCAAACAGG
Molecule: ribosomal RNA, 430 nt
Filed under: Pseudomonadota bacterium
Lineage: Bacteria; Pseudomonadati; Pseudomonadota
Description: Proteobacteria bacterium partial 16S ribosomal RNA
Rfam family: Bacterial small subunit ribosomal RNA
Source: RNAcentral